UUUAAUUCGAUGCAACGCGAAGAACCUUACCUGGUCUUGACUCCACGGAAGUUUUCAGAGAUGAGAAUGUGCCUUCGGGAACCGUGAGACAGGUGCUGCAUGGCUGUCGUCAGCUCGUGUUGUGAAAUGUUGGGUUAAGUCCCGCAACGAGCGCAACCCUUAUCCUUUGUUGCCAGCGGUCCGGCCGGGAACUCAAAGGAGACUGCCAGUGAUAAACUGGAGGAAGGUGGGGAUGACGUCAAGUCAUCAUGGCCCUUACGACCAGGGCUACACACGUGCUACAAUGGCGCAUACAAAGAGAAGCGACCUCGCGAGAGCAAGCGGACCCCAUAAAGUGCGUCGUAGUCCGGAUUGGAGUCUGCAACUCGACUCCAUGAAGUCGGAAUCGCUAGUAAUCGUGGAUCAGAAUGCCA
Molecule: ribosomal RNA, 413 nt
Filed under: uncultured bacterium
Lineage: Bacteria
Description: bacterial SSU rRNA
Rfam family: Bacterial small subunit ribosomal RNA
Source: RNAcentral